This 299-nucleotide signal recognition particle RNA is filed under the name Cebus imitator (Panamanian white-faced capuchin). Its description in RNAcentral is "Metazoan signal recognition particle RNA (ENSCCAG00000008688.1)". It matches the Rfam family "Metazoan signal recognition particle RNA". Rfam says of the family: The signal recognition particle (SRP) is a universally conserved ribonucleoprotein. It is involved in the co-translational targeting of proteins to membranes. The eukaryotic SRP consists of a 300-nucleotide 7S RNA and six proteins: SRPs 72, 68, 54, 19, 14, and 9. Lineage: Eukaryota; Metazoa; Chordata; Mammalia; Primates; Cebidae. The record is from RNAcentral.
ACCAGGCUCAGUGGUGCAUGCCUGUAGUCCCAGCUACUCGGGAGGCCGAGGUGGGAGGAUCGCUUGAGCCCAGGAGUUCUGGGCUAUAGUGCGCUAUGCCGAUCGGGUAUCCGCACUAAGUUCGGCAUCAAUAUGGUGACCUCCCGGGAGCAGGGGACCACCAGGUUGCCUAAGGAGGGGUGAACUGGCCCAGGUCGAAAACAGAGCAGGUCAAAACUCCCGUGCUGAUCAGUAGUGGGAUUGCGCCUGUGAAUAGCCACUGCACUCCAGCCUGGGCAACACAGCAAGACCCUGUUUCU